This 502-nucleotide ribosomal RNA is filed under the name uncultured bacterium. Its description in RNAcentral is "partial 16S ribosomal RNA". It matches the Rfam family "Bacterial small subunit ribosomal RNA", at positions 29 to 523 of the family's 1533-position model. The record is from RNAcentral.
AUCGAACGCUGGCGGCAUGCCUUACACAUGCAAGUCGAACGGCAGCGCGGGAGCUUGCUCCUGGCGGCGAGUGGCGAACGGGUGAGUAAUACAUCGGAACGUGUCCGUUUGUGGGGAACAACCAGCCGAAAGGUUGGCUAAUACCGCAUAAGACCUGAGGGUGACAGCCGGGGACCGCAAGGCUCGGCGCAGACGGAUCGGCCGAUGAUUGAUUAGCUUGUUGGCGGGGUAAAGGCCCACCAAGGCGACGAUCAAUAGCUGGUCUGAGAGGACGACCAGCCACACUGGAACUGAGACACGGUCCAGACUCCUACGGGAGGCAGCAGUGGGGAAUUUUGGACAAUGGGGGCAACCCUGAUCCAGCCAUGCCGCGUGCGGGAAGAAGGCCUUCGGGUUGUAAACCGCUUUUGUCAGGGACGAAAAGGGACGGGUUAAGAGCUAGUUCCGCUGACGGUACCUGAAGAAUAAGCACCGGCUAACUACGUGCCAGCAGCCGCGGUAA